Molecule: ribosomal RNA, 449 nt
Filed under: uncultured bacterium
Lineage: Bacteria
Description: SSU rRNA
Rfam family: Bacterial small subunit ribosomal RNA
Source: RNAcentral
AGGAUGAACGCUGGCGGUCUGCUUAACACAUGCAAGUCGAACGGAGUAGAAAUACUUAGUGGCGGACGGGUGAGUAACGCAUGAGAAUCUACCUUCAGGACGGAGACAACAGUUGGAAGCGACUGCUAACCCCCGAUGUACUGAAAAGGCAAAUAUUUAUAGCCUGAAGAAGAGCUCGCGUCCGAUUAGCUAGUUGGAGAGGUAAAAGCUCACCAAGGCGACGAUCGGUAGCUGGUCUGAGAGGACGAUCAGCCACACUGGGACUGAGACACGGCCCAGACUCCUACGGGAGGCAGCAGUGGGGAAUUUUCCGCAAUGGGCGAAAGCCUGACGGAGCAAGACCGCGUGGGGGAAGAAGGCUCUUGGGUUGUAAACCCCCUUUUCUCUGGGAAGAACGCAAUGACGGUACCAGAGGAAUCAGCAUCGGCUAACUCCGUGCCAGCAGCCGC